GACGAACGCUGGCGGCGUGCUUAACACAUGCAAGUCGAACGGAAAGGCCCUGCUUUUGUGGGGUGCUCGAGUGGCGAACGGGUGAGUAACACGUGAGUAACCUGCCCUUGACUUUGGGAUAACUUCAGGAAACUGGGGCUAAUACCGGAUAGGAGCUCCUGCUGCAUGGUGGGGGUUGGAAAGUUUCGGCGGUUGGGGAUGGACUCGCGGCUUAUCAGCUUGUUGGUGGGGUAGUGGCUUACCAAGGCUUUGACGGGUAGCCGGCCUGAGAGGGUGACCGGCCACAUUGGGACUGAGAUCCGGCCCAGACUCCUACGGGAGGCAGCAGUGGGGAAUAUUGCACAAUGGGCGGAAGCCUGAUGCAGCAACGCCGCGUGCUGGAUGACGGCCUUCGGGUUGUAAACCGCUUUCGCCUGUGACGAAGCGUGAGUGACGGUAAUGGGUAAAGAAGCAGCGGCUAACUACGUG
Molecule: ribosomal RNA, 468 nt
Filed under: uncultured bacterium
Lineage: Bacteria
Description: partial 16S ribosomal RNA
Rfam family: Bacterial small subunit ribosomal RNA
Source: RNAcentral